Molecule: RNA transcript, 2378 nt
Organism: Cebus imitator (Panamanian white-faced capuchin)
Lineage: Eukaryota; Metazoa; Chordata; Mammalia; Primates; Cebidae
Gene name: proteasome activator complex subunit 3-like
Exons: 1
Source: RefSeq, a predicted model, not a curated record
AAAAUUGGACACGGCCUGGCCCGGCCAUGGCCUCAUUGCUGAAGGUGGAUCAGGAAGUGAAGCUCAAGGUUGAUUCUUUCAGGGAGUGGAUCACAAGAGAGGCAGACUUGGUGGCAAAGUUUUUCACAAAGAAGUUUUUAGAACUUAAUAGUUUUCUGAAGGAACCAAUCUUAAACAUCCAUAACCUAACUCAGAUCCACUCUGACAUGAAUCUCCCAGUCCCUGACCCCAUUCUUCUCACCAAGAGCGAUGAUGGACUGGAUGGUCCCACUUAUAAAAAGUGAAGGUUGGAUGAGUGUGAAGAAGCUUUCCAAGGAACCAAGGCGUUUGUCAUGCCCAAUGGAAUGCUGAAAAGCAACCAGCAGCUGGUGCACAUUAUUGAGAAAGUGAAACCUGAGAUCCACUGUUGAUUGAGAAAUGUAACACUGUCAAAAUGUGGGUACAGCUCCUGAUUCCCAGGAUAGAAGAUGGAAACAACUUUGGGGUAUCGAUUCAAGAGGAAACAGUUACAGAACUAAGAACUGUUGAGAGCGAAGCUGCAUCUUAUCUGGACCGGAUUUCUAGAUAUUAUAUUACAGAGCCAAAUUGGUUUCUAAAAUAGCUAAAUAUCCUCACGUGCAGGACUAUCACCACACCAUGACAGAGAUUGAUGAGAAAGAAUAUAUCGGCCUUUGGCUCAUCAUAUCAGAGCUGAGGAAUCAAUAUGUCACUGUACAUGACACGAUCCUGAAAAAUAUUGAGAAGAUCAACGGUCCCUGAGGCCAGGGGACUGUGAAUCUGGCUCAAGACCAACAUUGCCUUGGUUUGUAACAUGACCAUCGUGAUGGGGAAACUGGCUGGAAAUAGUAAUCACACCUCUCUGUUUUUAGUUGGAGUCUAAUGAAAUUCUCAUCUAGUUCUGUGAUGUGCUUAUCUCUUUUUUCUGGCCUCAGGAACUCUUCUAUUUUCUUCCCUGAUACCCCACACCCAACCUGUCCUAAUUUCUGGAGAACUCCAGGUUUGUGUGUGCAGGAUGUUGGCACAAAAAUACUUGUGUUUCCACUCUCCUGUUCCUUCCUGUGUCUCGGGCUUUAUGUUUUCUUCCUUUUGAUGAUUAGUUGGUUAAAAGCUGAGGGAACUGGAAGGAAAGUGCCAGGUGUUUUUUAGGAACUGGGGUGGUGGAGGGGAACAACUUCUCUUCUUCACAUGAAGUUACUGUCUCUUUCCUCUGCGGGGCAUUGCAUCCUCCCACAGUUGCCCUGGUGGUGACUUAGGGUUUCACAUCUGUGUACAUCCCAUCUUGAAUCUUGAUCAUGACAAGAAACGCCUUAGGCCUUCAGUCAAUUCCCAAGCUCCUUCAGGUGUUUUUAUAAUGGGAGUUUUCACAUGCACAUAUAUGUAUGCAUGUAUACACCCAUACAGACAUGCACACACACCUUCCUACUCCAUUACCUAAUAUACCCUCCCUUUCCACGAUCCCUGUCACAUACCUUUCAGGAGAUGAUGGUUGUCUUAGUUGUCAUCUACCCAGACAAAUGUCUUGGGCUCGUCCUCCCUCCUUAUGCUGUAGCAUCUUGGUACCUAAGGUGAGUUGAUGGAGAACAGUGAGAUGAGAAGCAGAGGACUCGGGGAAGGCCUGUCCCUCUCUGACUCAGCCCUUUUUGGCAUUAUUGCAAAAGCUGGUCCUCUUGACUCCUGGCUGUCAGUUGCGGUGGAGGUGUCUGCAAGUGUGAGGUCCAGAUGCUGCUGCUCAUGUUGGGCUUUCCUUUUGGGAACUAUUUCUCUUAUUUAUAGUGUCAGGCCUCCAGGGAAAGCAAACUGGUGUGUAUGUGUGUGUGCACGCACACACAUGCAUAUACAUGUUUGUGUAUGUGGAAGUGCGUUAGGCAAGUGAAAACUAUAGAAAAGUUGCCUCCUGUCUCUUGAAUUUUCCAGAGAUAUCACUUAACUGUUAAUAGCUUUUGUGUUAAUCCCCAUCAGCCCCCAGCUCUUUUAUUCCACCACUGCUGGAGAGUUGGUAUCUGCACUCAGCCUGCCAGUGACUCUCAGUAUCUGUUUCUGACUUUUAUUCUUCCUGUCUCUGUCUUCCAACCCCCAAUAAUAUUUCCACCUGGCUUUUUACUCCCAAUAUUCUGUCGAGGAGGAGUCAGGAUGCUGUCUUCCCACGAAUAGUACUCAGUAACAAACCAAUUGCAUUUUAGUUGGGCAGUGCCCUCACCCACCCUCCAGAUCCCUUCCAGCUGAAACCCUUCCUUCCCUCUUCCCACCAUGUGUUUCUCAUUUCCCUUUUUGCCUGUUGGAUUGUUCCACUGCCCCUCACCCUACCACCCUUGGAUAGUAACAUAAAAUUCUUUUACCAGGUCAAGACAUUAUUAAAAAUACAGGUACUUUGACCUCUU